UACGGAGGGUGCAAGCGUUAAUCGGAAUUACUGGGCGUAAAGCGCGCGUAGGUGGUUUGUUAAGUCAGAUGUGAAAGCCCAGGGCUCAACCUUGGAACUGCAUCUGAUACUGGCAGGCUAGAGUAUGGUAGAGGGAGGUAGAAUUCCACGUGUAGCGGUGAAAUGCGUAGAGAUGUGGAGGAAUACCAGUGGCGAAGGCGGCCUCCUGGACCAAUACUGACACUGAGGUGCGAAAGCGUGGGGAGCAAACAGGAUUAGAUACCCGGGUAGUCC
This 273-nucleotide ribosomal RNA is filed under the name uncultured bacterium. RNAcentral's name for it is "partial 16S ribosomal RNA". It matches the Rfam family "Bacterial small subunit ribosomal RNA", at positions 524 to 796 of the family's 1533-position model. The record is from RNAcentral.